AUGGCCGCCACAGAUCGCCUCUCCGGCCUCCCCGACGACCUGCUCGCCAGCGUCAUCUCCUUCCUCCCCACCAGGGAGGCCGCCCGCACCGCCGCCCUCUCUCGGCGACGGCGCCCGCUUUGGCUGCGCACGGACGCCAUCAACCUCGACACCAGCUACUACCGCCGCACGAUCCGUGACUACCACGUCAAGGACCGCCUGCUCCGCGACGCCCGCGCAGCCCUCGGCGCCACCGGCCGGUGCACCGUCAGGAAGCUCUCGAUGCUUGUGGCCGGACCGAGCGCAGAUGACUUGAAGGAUGAUUAUUACUAUUACACGCCGAAGCGGAGCAGCGACACCUAUGACCUGACCGCCUCCCUCCUCGCCACCCCGGCGCUGAGGCAAAUCGAGGAGCUCCACGCCGGGAUCGUCGUGCCCAUGCCGGUCCCCCAGCAGAACAAACAAGAAGAGGAUGCACACCGCGUGUACGAGCUGGACCCUGCCAAGUUACCGGGGCACACCCUCCGGGUCCUGGACCUCGCGCGCUGCCAUCUCGAGUCAUCACCUGGCACCACAGCCUUCCCUCGACUCGCCACGCUGCGGCUCUGCAAGUGCUCGUCGACGACGACGGACCUCGAAGACAUCAUCCGUGCUGCGCCGACCCUUGGCAGCCUGCACAUUGAAAGUCACACGUACUUCGGCCGCAGCAAAGACGACACCCGCUGCCAGAAUUUCGUGCCGCACUGCCCGAGCCUCACCACACUCACGCUCACGUUGCCGGACGACGGCGAGACGACCAUCAAACGGAUCGAGCUCGACGCGCCACGCCUGCGAGCCCUUAGGUACGACGGACUCCUUGUGGAGUUCUCCAUGAAAUCGCCGGCCUCGGAGCUGGAACAGGCUGAUCUGACCCUUGGGCGGACGACGUACGGUGUCAGUGACUGGUCGGCCACAUACGGGAGCCUUCUCCGUUGCCUUCGGCAAGCCAAGGUUCUCAGAUUGAAGGUGCCGGAAAUCAUGGGCAUUGCCGGCGUCCAGGUCACGCUGCACCGUCUGGAAAGGCUGGAUUUCGAAGUGCCCUAUAAAUCCUGCAACGCAUGCCCCAUAGAUGAUGCAGCUGGCGCCAUGGCCGACCUGUUCCAAUGCUUCCCCGUCAUCCAUGACCUGCGGAUUCGGAUUUUGCCACAUCCUCCUGCUGCUAAUGUACCUUUGCAGGAUUUUGACGUGUCUAUGUACUUGUUUGAGAAGCGCGACUCGGAGGAGAUGGCUCCUCUCAUGUUCGACGACGGCUUUGGUUCCACAUUAGUUCUCCCGGAGCUCCCGAGCUUGACAGGUAGCUUGGGGAGUCAUCUGAAAAAUGUGAGGUUGGAGUUUGAGUUGACGCAACAGAGUAUCUUUGAGGUUUGCCUUGCCAAGUUCUUUGCGGAGAACUGCAUGGACCUGGAGGUCCUCGAAGUCGAUGAUGGAAAGCAGUGGUUUUUCGCCCACAUAGGUUGGACGGUAGAGAGAUGGAGAGCUAAGGCAUUGGAGCAAAGUAAACAGAUGGAGCGAAAUUCUAAUGUAGAGGCGAUGCAGACAGGGAAAAGGGAAAUGGAUGGUGACGUGCAACAUAAUCUAAAGAACAAGUCUUAA
RNAcentral lists this ribosomal RNA (1611 nucleotides) under Triticum aestivum (bread wheat). RNAcentral describes it as "partial small subunit ribosomal RNA". Lineage: Eukaryota; Viridiplantae; Streptophyta; Magnoliopsida; Poales; Poaceae. The record is from RNAcentral.